Molecule: non-coding RNA, 21 nt
Filed under: Caenorhabditis elegans
Lineage: Eukaryota; Metazoa; Nematoda; Chromadorea; Rhabditida; Rhabditidae
Source: RNAcentral
UGAGAGCGCAAUUGAUGUCAG